GUGGGGAAUCUUGCGCAAUGGGCGAAAGCCUGACGCAGCCAUGCCGCGUGAAUGAUGAAGGUCUUAGGAUUGUAAAAUUCUUUCACCGGGGACGAUAAUGACGGUACCCGGAGAAGAAGCUCCGGCUAACUUCGUGCCAGCAGCCGCGGUAAUACGAAGGGGGCUAGCGUUGCUCGGAAUUACUGGGCGUAAAGGGCGCGUAGGCGGACAGCAUAGUCAGAGGUGAAAGCCCAGGGCUCAACCUUGGAAUUGCCUUUGAUACUGGCUGUCUUGAGUACGUGAGAGGUGAGUGGAACUCCGAGUGUAGAGGUGAAAUUCGUAGAUAUUCGGAAGAACACCAGUGGCGAAGGCGACUCACUGGCCCGUUACUGACGCUGAGGCGCGAAAGCGUGGGGAGCAAACAGGAUUAGAUACCCCUGUAGUCC
RNAcentral lists this ribosomal RNA (425 nucleotides) under uncultured bacterium. Its description in RNAcentral is "partial 16S ribosomal RNA". It matches the Rfam family "Bacterial small subunit ribosomal RNA", at positions 354 to 796 of the family's 1533-position model. The record is from RNAcentral.